This 292-nucleotide ribosomal RNA is filed under the name uncultured prokaryote. RNAcentral describes it as "partial 16S ribosomal RNA". It matches the Rfam family "Bacterial small subunit ribosomal RNA", at positions 505 to 796 of the family's 1533-position model. The record is from RNAcentral.
GUGCCAGCCGCCGCGGUAAUACGUAGGUGGCAAGCGUUGUCCGGAAUUAUUGGGCGUAAAGGGCUCGCAGGCGGUCUCUUAAGUCUGAUGUGAAAGCCCCCGGCUCAACCGGGGAGGGUCAUUGGAAACUGGGGAACUUGAGUGCAGAAGAGGAGAGUGGAAUUCCACGUGUAGCGGUGAAAUGCGUAGAGAUGUGGAGGAACACCAGUGGCGAAGGCGACUCUCUGGUCUGUAACUGACGCUGAGGAGCGAAAGCGUGGGGAGCAAACAGGAUUAGAUACCCUCGUAGUCC